Molecule: ribosomal RNA, 468 nt
Filed under: uncultured bacterium
Lineage: Bacteria
Description: partial 16S ribosomal RNA
Rfam family: Bacterial small subunit ribosomal RNA
Source: RNAcentral
GACGAACGCUGGCGGCGUGCUUAACACAUGCAAGUCGAACGGAAAGGCCCUGCUUUUGUGGGGUGCUCGAGUGGCGAACGGGUGAGUAACACGUGAGUAACCUGCCAUUGACUUUGGGAUAACUUCAGGAAACUGGGGCUAAUACCGGAUAGGAGCUCCUGCUGCAUGGUGGGGGCUGGAAAGUUUCGGCGGUUGGGGAUGGACUCGCGGCCCAUCAGCUUGUUUGUGGGGUAGUGGCUUACCAAGGCUUUGAAGGGUGGCAGGCCUGGGAGGGUGACCGGCCAAAUUGGGACUGGGAUGCGGCCCAGACUCGUCCGGUAGGCAGCGGUGGGGUAUGGUGCACUAUGGGCGGAAGCCUGAUGCAGUAACGCCGCGUGCGGGAUGUCGGGCUUCGGGUUGUAAUCCGCUUUCGCCUGUGACGAGGCGUGAGUGACGGUAAUGGGUAAAGAAGCACCGGCUAACUACGUG